AGCCCCGCAGCGCAGACUCGGAGGGCGCCGUGGCGCGUCACAGACAUUCUAUCCCUUCCCACGACGUAUCGUUCUGUUUCGUUAGCCUUUCUUCAUCCUCCCCUCUGCGCCUGCGCCAUUCGUUGCCUCCCGCCCCCGAGAAGAACCCAUCGCUUCCGCGUUAGAUUCGAUCGAGACAUGGCCCGAGAGUACGAGGCGGCAUUGAAUUGCUUGUCCUCCCUCAUCACCCGACGCAGUCGAGCCGCUAGGGGCAACAAGGGCGACCGCUAUGAUCUGAUGUUCGACUACCUGAAGAUCUUGGAGUUGGAAGACGCGAUUUCCCAGCUUAAGAUUAUCCAUGUAGCUGGCACCAAAGGGAAGGGUUCGACGUGCACUUUUACUGAAUCAAUUCUGCGGUGUUGUGGGUUUCGAACUGGACUGUUCACGUCCCCUCACCUUAUCGAUGUCCGGGAGCGGUUCCGUCUUGAUGGGGUAAAAGUUUCUGAAGAGAAGUUUUUGGAGCACUUCUGGUGGUGUUGGAAUAGAUUGCAGGAAAAAAAUGGUGACAAUCUCCCUAUGCCUACCUAUUUCCGCUUCCUUGCCCUUCUGGCAUUUAAGAUAUUCUCAGCAGAGCAGGUGGAUGUUGCCAUUGUGGAAGUUGGUUUGGGAGGAAAAUUUGAUGCAACCAAUGUGGUGAAGGAACCAAUCGUCUGUGGAAUAUCGUCCUUGGGUUAUGACCACAUGGAAAUUCUUGGAAAUACACUGGGAGAAAUUGCAGGAGAGAAAGCUGGCAUCUUUAAGAAAGGAGUACCUGCAUGGACUGUACCCCAGCCUGAAGAAGCAAUGCGCAUGCUCGAAGAGAAGGCUUCUCAAUUAGGUGUUCCUCUUCAAGUAGUUUCACCUUUAGAUCAUGGACUACUGAAAAAUCAACAUCUUGGGCUAGAUGGCGAGCAUCAAUGUUUAAAUGCUGGCCUUGCUAUUGCCUUGUCCAGUGUUUGGCUUAAAACAACCGGAAAUUUACAAGGCAUGCAGAUAGACCAAAACAAUUUACCUGAGCAAUUUGUCAGAGGGUUAUCAAGGGCUAGUUUGGAGGGACGAGCACAGGUUGUCUCAGAUUCUUCUCUUGGGCAACAGCAGAACUCCAAUCUGGGAGGCUUGACUUUCUACCUAGAUGGGGCACAUAGCCCAGAAAGCUUGGAGGUGUGUGCAAAAUGGUUUUCCCGUGUUAUAAGAGAAGAUCCUUCACAUUUAGAGGAACAAAUUCACAAGAAACACCAUCCUGGACGGGGGGGUCACCCUAACUCACUAGGGGGGAAGGAGCACCUACAGAUGCUUCUUUUCAAUUGCAUGUCAGUGAGAAAUCCUCAGUUGUUGCUUCCACGUCUGGUAAACACUUGUUCUCAGCAUGGGGUCAAAUUCCAUAAGGCCCUUUUUGUACCAAACCAAUCAGCAUAUAACAAGGUUGGGUCUCAUGCAUCACCACCGACUGAUCCACAGCAAGUUGAUCUGUCAUGGCAGCUGACACUACAGAGAGUGUGGGAAAACCUCAUUCAUGGUGAACAAGGCUCAAGUUGCGCCAAUGCCUAUGGUGGCAGUUUAGUAUUUCCUUCGCUCCCGUUAGCUCUCAACUGGCUCAGGGAAAGUGUUCAACGAAGAAGAUCAGUUCAAGUUCAGGUUCUGGUAACAGGUUCCUUGCACCUUGUGGGUGAUGUUCUGAGAUUAAUCAGGAAGUGAUGUUUCCUCCUCGAGAUUAAUUAGAUAGCUGGAUCACGUUAUUUUGAUCCACCGAUUCUUUUCCACAUUGCCACUCUAUUUAAGACAAACAACAAUUGAAGAUUGUCUCGAACAGCAUCCUGAAGAUUAGUGAUUCUUCGAGUAGAUUGAUUAUAUCUUGUUCCAGGCCUUGGAAAAAUGGGAAUGCAAGUGAUGAUUGCAAGGGGAACAGGAAUUUUAGUUCGACUCUUUCAAUGUUGCACAACAUUGUGGUGCGGGAUGAAUGCUUUUAAAUUGGGUUGGAUUUGUUGAGAAUCGAAUGCCCACCCAAUCUUUGGUGUGGGGUUCUAUGCAGAAAUUUCAUCUCAACCCAGUUGGGUUGUCUUGUGAGGGCUUAGUGGCAGUUACUAAUGAUCCGCUCUUC
Musa acuminata subsp. malaccensis (wild Malaysian banana) is the source of this 2116-nucleotide non-coding RNA. Lineage: Eukaryota; Viridiplantae; Streptophyta; Magnoliopsida; Zingiberales; Musaceae. The record is from RefSeq and is a predicted model, not a curated record.